RNAcentral lists this ribosomal RNA (827 nucleotides) under Bacillus pumilus. RNAcentral's name for it is "bacterial SSU rRNA". It matches the Rfam family "Bacterial small subunit ribosomal RNA", at positions 381 to 1201 of the family's 1533-position model. Lineage: Bacteria; Bacillati; Bacillota; Bacilli; Caryophanales; Bacillaceae. The record is from RNAcentral.
GUCUGACGGAGCAACGCCGCGUGAGUGAUGAAGGUUUUCGGAUCGUAAAGCUCUGUUGUUAGGGAAGAACAAGUGCAAGAGUAACUGCUUGCACCUUGACGGUACCUAACCAGAAAGCCACGGCUAACUACGUGCCAGCAGCCGCGGUAAUACGUAGGUGGCAAGCGUUGUCCGGAAUUAUUGGGCGUAAAGGGCUCGCAGGCGGUUUCUUAAGUCUGAUGUGAAAGCCCCCGGCUCAACCGGGGAGGGUCAUUGGAAACUGGGAAACUUGAGUGCAGAAGAGGAGAGUGGAAUUCCACGUGUAGCGGUGAAAUGCGUAGAGAUGUGGAGGAACACCAGUGGCGAAGGCGACUCUCUGGUCUGUAACUGACGCUGAGGAGCGAAAGCGUGGGGAGCGAACAGGAUUAGAUACCCUGGUAGUCCACGCCGUAAACGAUGAGUGCUAAGUGUUAGGGGGUUUCCGCCCCUUAGUGCUGCAGCUAACGCAUUAAGCACUCCGCCUGGGGAGUACGGUCGCAAGACUGAAACUCAAAGGAAUUGACGGGGGCCCGCACAAGCGGUGGAGCAUGUGGUUUAAUUCGAAGCAACGCGAAGAACCUUACCAGGUCUUGACAUCCUCUGACAACCCUAGAGAUAGGGCUUUCCCUUCGGGGACAGAGUGACAGGUGGUGCAUGGUUGUCGUCAGCUCGUGUCGUGAGAUGUUGGGUUAAGUCCCGCAACGAGCGCAACCCUUGAUCUUAGUUGCCAGCAUUCAGUUGGGCACUCUAAGGUGACUGCCGGUGACAAACCGGAGGAAGGUGGGGAUGACGUCAAAUCAUCAUGCCCC